RNAcentral lists this long non-coding RNA (225 nucleotides) under Elaeis guineensis (African oil palm). Its description in RNAcentral is "long non-coding RNA (EGUI_LNC080729)". The record is from RNAcentral. Lineage: Eukaryota; Viridiplantae; Streptophyta; Magnoliopsida; Arecales; Arecaceae.
GCCACCCUUAGGAUUCAGUGCUUUCUUUGAAUCCUUAAAACCUGACUUCUUCUUAGAAGUUUUACCGACAAGGAGAAAUAGAGCCUUUUCUUUCUUAAUAUGGCUCUCAGCUGUCUUGAGCAUAUUUAACAGCUCAGACAAGGAGGUAUUCAAUUUAUUCAUGUGAUAGUUCAUGAUAAACUGAGCGAACAACUUAGAGAGAGAUUGCAAGAUCAAAUCCUGACU